This 85-nucleotide transfer RNA is filed under the name Felis catus (domestic cat). It matches the Rfam family "tRNA". Rfam says of the family: Transfer RNA (tRNA) molecules are approximately 80 nucleotides in length. Their secondary structure includes four short double-helical elements and three loops (D, anti-codon, and T loops). Further hydrogen bonds mediate the characteristic L-shaped molecular structure. tRNAs have two regions of fundamental functional importance: the anti-codon, which is responsible for specific mRNA codon recognition, and the 3' end, to which the tRNAs corresponding amino acid is attached (by aminoacyl-tRNA synthetases). tRNAs cope with the degeneracy of the genetic code in two manners: having more than one tRNA (with a specific anti-codon) for a particular amino acid; and 'wobble' base-pairing, i.e. permitting non-standard base-pairing at the 3rd anti-codon position. The record is from Rfam by way of RNAcentral. Lineage: Eukaryota; Metazoa; Chordata; Mammalia; Carnivora; Felidae.
GCCUAGAUGGCUCAGUCAGUUGAGCAUCUGACUUCUGCUCAGGUCUUGAUCUCCCCGUUUGUGGGUUCAAGUCCCGCACUAGGCU